GGAGAAGAAGGAGAAGAAUUAAAGGAAUAAGAAUGGGCAGAGAGGAAGUUUUGGUGGAACCUGAGAUGGGUUCCGCCAUGGAAGAAGGAAGAAGAUGAAGCGGAAGAAGAAGAAGCAGAGAAACGCUCAGAAGGGGGAAAGGUAAGGGGAGAUGGAAGAAGAGAAAGAGAUGAAGCAGCGGCCAUUAAAGGCAGUAGAAAGGAAAUGGGUUUGAUGAGAGUGCUAUAUUGAG
RNAcentral lists this unclassified non-coding RNA (232 nucleotides) under Hevea brasiliensis (rubber tree). The record is from RNAcentral. Lineage: Eukaryota; Viridiplantae; Streptophyta; Magnoliopsida; Malpighiales; Euphorbiaceae.